This 94-nucleotide non-coding RNA is filed under the name Mesocricetus auratus (golden hamster). The record is from RNAcentral. Lineage: Eukaryota; Metazoa; Chordata; Mammalia; Rodentia; Cricetidae.
AGAUUGGCUUUAGCUUACUGUUCCUUCCACAACACAGCAAUUUGGAACCAAACAGCUGCUGGGUUGAGACCCACGGGCACUCACCAACCAGUCC